RNAcentral lists this ribosomal RNA (821 nucleotides) under Enterobacter cloacae. Its description in RNAcentral is "bacterial SSU rRNA". It matches the Rfam family "Bacterial small subunit ribosomal RNA", at positions 33 to 844 of the family's 1533-position model. Lineage: Bacteria; Pseudomonadati; Pseudomonadota; Gammaproteobacteria; Enterobacterales; Enterobacteriaceae. The record is from RNAcentral.
ACCCGGGGGACCCCCCCUAAUAUGCAAGUCGAACGGUAACAGGAAGCAGCUUGCUGCUUCGCUGACGAGUGGCGGACGGGUGAGUAAUGUCUGGGAAACUGCCUGAUGGAGGGGGAUAACUACUGGAAACGGUAGCUAAUACCGCAUAACGUCGCAAGACCAAAGAGGGGGACCUUCGGGCCUCUUGCCAUCGGAUGUGCCCAGAUGGGAUUAGCUAGUAGGUGGGGUAACGGCUCACCUAGGCGACGAUCCCUAGCUGGUCUGAGAGGAUGACCAGCCACACUGGAACUGAGACACGGUCCAGACUCCUACGGGAGGCAGCAGUGGGGAAUAUUGCACAAUGGGCGCAAGCCUGAUGCAGCCAUGCCGCGUGUAUGAAGAAGGCCUUCGGGUUGUAAAGUACUUUCAGCGGGGAGGAAGGCGAUAAGGUUAAUAACCUUGUCGAUUGACGUUACCCGCAGAAGAAGCACCGGCUAACUCCGUGCCAGCAGCCGCGGUAAUACGGAGGGUGCAAGCGUUAAUCGGAAUUACUGGGCGUAAAGCGCACGCAGGCGGUCUGUCAAGUCGGAUGUGAAAUCCCCGGGCUCAACCUGGGAACUGCAUUCGAAACUGGCAGGCUAGAGUCUUGUAGAGGGGGGUAGAAUUCCAGGUGUAGCGGUGAAAUGCGUAGAGAUCUGGAGGAAUACCGGUGGCGAAGGCGGCCCCCUGGACAAAGACUGACGCUCAGGUGCGAAAGCGUGGGGAGCAAACAGGAUGAGAUACCCUGGUAGUCCACGCCGUAUACGAUGUCGACUUGGAGGAUGUGCCCUUGAGGCGGGGGU